Molecule: transfer RNA, 74 nt
Organism: Gloeomargarita lithophora Alchichica-D10
Lineage: Bacteria; Bacillati; Cyanobacteriota; Cyanophyceae; Gloeomargaritales; Gloeomargaritaceae
Rfam family: tRNA
About the family: Transfer RNA (tRNA) molecules are approximately 80 nucleotides in length. Their secondary structure includes four short double-helical elements and three loops (D, anti-codon, and T loops). Further hydrogen bonds mediate the characteristic L-shaped molecular structure. tRNAs have two regions of fundamental functional importance: the anti-codon, which is responsible for specific mRNA codon recognition, and the 3' end, to which the tRNAs corresponding amino acid is attached (by aminoacyl-tRNA synthetases). tRNAs cope with the degeneracy of the genetic code in two manners: having more than one tRNA (with a specific anti-codon) for a particular amino acid; and 'wobble' base-pairing, i.e. permitting non-standard base-pairing at the 3rd anti-codon position.
Source: Rfam
CGGGAUGUAGCGCAGCUUGGUAGCGCACUUCGUUCGGGACGAAGGGGCCGUGGGUUCGAAUCCCGCCAUCCCGA